GUGUGACACCCGCUGGGGAGGGGGUGGCCAGGAUGCUGGGAUCUUCCCCCCAGCAGGGCUGGUCUGUCUAGGAUCUGACCCCAGAUCCCCCCCAGGCACCUGACUCCUUGACUCUUCUCUACAGGUUUGUCCACCCGGAUGAGAUAGGCGGGCCCAGAGGCUGGUCUCCCCAAGGCGCAGACCCCGUCCCUGGAUAUGAAGAGUGACCCCCUCUUCCCCCGUCCCAUGCUGCAUAGCCGUAGCACUUAGCCUAGACCAGGCCCCCACGCUCUGAUCGCAGCCUGCAGAAUCUGAUCCAGCCAGCAGGGGGCAGUAGGGACACACACACCCAACAGGUCUGAUCCCCUCCAACAGCGGGCAGUAGGGACACACACAAACACACACACACACACAUUGCGCAGGGCUUGUCCCCUCCAGCAGGGGGCAGUAGGGACAUACACACACACGCAGCAGGUCUGAUCCCCUCCAACAGGGGGCAGUAGGGACACAUACACACAAACACACACGGCAGGUCUCAUCCCCUCCAACAGGGGGCCGCCGAGACACACACACACACACA
Chrysemys picta bellii (western painted turtle) is the source of this 559-nucleotide non-coding RNA. NCBI's taxonomy places the organism in Eukaryota, Metazoa, Chordata, Testudines, Emydidae. The record is from RefSeq and is a predicted model, not a curated record.